RNAcentral lists this ribosomal RNA (235 nucleotides) under Staphylococcus aureus. RNAcentral's name for it is "partial 16S ribosomal RNA". It matches the Rfam family "Bacterial small subunit ribosomal RNA", at positions 1 to 225 of the family's 1533-position model. Lineage: Bacteria; Bacillati; Bacillota; Bacilli; Caryophanales; Staphylococcaceae. The record is from RNAcentral.
UUUAUGGAGAGUUUGAUCCUGGCUCAGGAUGAACGCUGGCGGCGUGCCUAAUACAUGCAAGUCGAGCGAACGGACGAGAAGCUUGCUUCUCUGAUGUUAGCGGCGGACGGGUGAGUAACACGUGGAUAACCUACCUAUAAGACUGGGAUAACUUCGGGAAACCGGAGCUAAUACCGGAUAAUAUUUUGAACCGCAUGGUUCGAAAGUGAAAGACGGUCUUGCUGUCACUUAUAGA